Molecule: ribosomal RNA, 425 nt
Filed under: uncultured bacterium
Lineage: Bacteria
Description: partial 16S ribosomal RNA
Rfam family: Bacterial small subunit ribosomal RNA
Source: RNAcentral
GUGGGGAAUAUUGGACAAUGGGCGAAAGCCUGAUCCAGCCAUGCCGCGUGAGUGAUGAAGGCCUUAGGGUUGUAAAGCUCUUUCAGUAGGGAAGAUAAUGACGGUACCUACAGAAGAAGCCCCGGCUAACUUCGUGCCAGCAGCCGCGGUAAUACGAAGGGGGCUAGCGUUGUUCGGAUUUACUGGGCGUAAAGCGCACGUAGGCGGUUUGUUAAGUCAGAGGUGAAAUCCCGGAGCUCAACUCCGGAACUGCCUUUGAUACUGGCAAGCUAGAGUCCGGAAGAGGUAAGUGGAACUCCUAGUGUAGAGGUGGAAUUCGUAGAUAUUAGGAAGAACACCAGUGGCGAAGGCGGCUUACUGGUCCGGAACUGACGCUGAGGUGCGAAAGCGUGGGGAGCAAACAGGAUUAGAUACCCUAGUAGUCC